Molecule: long non-coding RNA, 823 nt
Filed under: Lytechinus variegatus (green sea urchin)
Lineage: Eukaryota; Metazoa; Echinodermata; Echinoidea; Temnopleuroida; Toxopneustidae
Description: uncharacterized LOC121424657
Source: RNAcentral
GCUCCCGAAGGGAGCUAGAGAGGUAACUCUUUUCGCGCGUUUUUAUUUCCCAUAGGUUUUGUACACAGCCAAUAUGGCUGCCGGCGGACAAUUUGAAGGGUGAUUUUGGAGGGUCAAUGUUUUAUUCAUAAGAAUGACGUCAAAUUACGCAAAAUGCACUUCUCUGAUUGGCUAAGACGCUAAUGUUUUAUUCAUAUAUUAUGAAUUAAACACGUUUUUUCGAUCCCACAAUUCCCUACGAGAUCUGUGCGAAGUGUUGUUCUUUCGGACUCUGCGAAUUUCCAGUUUCUACAACGAAAUAGCUCGACUAAUCAUCUGUUUAUAGAAUUCAUGUUCGAAAUCGUGACUUUUGAGUGAACUUCAUUGGAGCAGAAAAUCUUGGAGGGAACAUCAAUAAUAAUCUACUGACAUUCCAUGAGAAUAAAAAUCCAAUAGGACCAAGAUUUUAGCAGUUCACACCCGGUCAGAGGGACAAAAUUGAGAACCAUGCAGAUCGGCAAGUGUGGGUUACACUCUAAUGAGGAACAGGAUAUCUGAAUUGGAAAAUUGCAAGGUUUCCCACUGCCCAAGCUGUUUUAGUACUGGUAUCACAACAAGUACCAAGAUGGAAGAUAUAUGAAGGCCAAGCUAAUAAGUAGUUACUUCAAAUUAAUAUGAAUAGAUAUAUCAACAAAGCAUUGAAUGUUCUUUAAACUGCACAUCUGUAGAAAAGAGUUAGGUUCAUCAGCGGGCAAUGACAUUAAAGUAUACAAAAUUUCACACAAAAUACAAGAAAGAAAUAUUUUUUUUCCAAUGGGCAAAUGUAUCACCUUUUAUUAAUAUU